UCUGGCAAUUAACUAUGUUUUUCUGAGUAAUUCUGCUGCCACUACAAAUUACUCGACUUUAUAAGUCAAUUACAUUUCUCUAUCUUUUAACUUUGCCACCACGUUACAGUAUAUAUUCUCUAAUGCUAUGUGAGUAAACGGAGAAUCCUAAUAUGUCAUGUAACUUGUUUAUCAACUUAACUCUGCCACCACUAUAAAUAACUCAAUCACACAACUCUACUGAAUAUAUCUCUACCACGUAACUCAAUUAAUUUAUUAACUUUACCAUGUUUCAUUAACCCUACCGUCACUACAGCGAUAGACUUAUGUUAUGGUGUGCUUUUUCGCGGGCGAAAUACAGUUUCUCUCACUGACAUGACAUCAUCUUUUAAGGAAGAUUUGCAAAAAUAUCAUUUUUCUACUAUCCUUUUGCUACAAUACGCUUUUUUUGUUGACCAUUUUUAAACAUAUAUCUUUUCUUGAACAAAAAAAAAACAAAUUACCCAUCAUCUAAUGAUCAACAAUUCGUACAACACAUGACAGUAAUAAACAGACUUUUAUGUGUUGUUUGAGUAACUCACCCAAAAAAAUAUCGUAGACCAAACAACUUAUUUAUUUUAAUUUAAGUAUAAUGAUUUGUUUUAUUUUGAAUUGAUUUUAUUAAUUAUUAGAGAUGUGUUCUUUUUAGAGUCGUGUGACUCUCCCUUUGACUCUUUUAGAAAACAACUAAAUAUUAUAAUUAUGAGUAAUUAAAACGGGAUGAUUGUAAAAUUCCCAAAUUCUCAAUUAAAAACAAUAUUUUUUUGGUUAAUUUUUUUCUUUUCUAGAGUCUUCUCCGCAAAUCUCGUUAAUGGUUUUUAAACCGGUGACAGUAGCUGCUUAAAAAUAAUGUAAGGAUGGUGUCGCUAUUAAUUCCGACAACUCUAGAAUUUUGAUAUUCAAGCCGCAUCAGCGACAAUAAUGUAAGAAUUUCGAUUUUGGGAAUCUAGGGUUUUCGAUUAAGAGACUUUUUAACGAUAUGCCUUAACUGACUUAAUCAACACGAAUUCGUGAUCAAAUCGAAAGUCAACAUAAAAUUGAGGAUUGAAAUCACUAAAUCAAAACUUAUGCUUUAAACCAAUAAAAACUAAUGAUUUAGAUGACAUUUUUAAUUUUUUCCUUUUUUUU
Molecule: small RNA, 1146 nt
Filed under: Arabidopsis thaliana (thale cress)
Lineage: Eukaryota; Viridiplantae; Streptophyta; Magnoliopsida; Brassicales; Brassicaceae
Description: ATSL272010
Source: RNAcentral